RNAcentral lists this long non-coding RNA (365 nucleotides) under Capsella grandiflora. RNAcentral's name for it is "long non-coding RNA (CGRA_LNC000356)". The record is from RNAcentral. Lineage: Eukaryota; Viridiplantae; Streptophyta; Magnoliopsida; Brassicales; Brassicaceae.
CUUCAACGACGAUAGCGAUACCACACCUAGCAACAACCGGAGGCGGCGACGGUGGUCGUUGAGGAGUACGAGAUCGGGAAGAGAGAGAAGCCGCGAGUGCUUCCUCCAUCUGUAACCGGAACGCAAACUCGGAAUCGGAAUCGUGAGGCAAGAAAUUCAUGUUUUUGGUCUCACGGCAGCGAUAAAAUCAAUAGUUACUCCGUUGGGGUGAGUGAGUGACGACGACGAAUGGGUUUGUUUGCUUUACGAUGAUCGUCCCUUUUAGAGAGAGACCCCUUCGCAUGUCGCAUCACACGUGUGUGGAGAAAAGGGUAAAAACGUAACUUGCCAAUGGCUUACAUGAGACGCUUCUUACUUUCCUUUUU